GUGCUCACUUUGGUAGCACAUAUACUAAAAUUGAAAUGAUACGGAGAUUAGCAUGGCCCCUAAGCAAAGAUGACAUGCAAACUCGUGAACGUUAUUUUA
RNAcentral lists this small nuclear RNA (99 nucleotides) under Saimiri boliviensis boliviensis (Bolivian squirrel monkey). Lineage: Eukaryota; Metazoa; Chordata; Mammalia; Primates; Cebidae. The record is from RNAcentral.